This is a long non-coding RNA of Artibeus jamaicensis (Jamaican fruit-eating bat), 875 nucleotides long. RefSeq lists it as uncharacterized. The record is from RefSeq and is a predicted model, not a curated record. The transcript has 3 exons. Lineage: Eukaryota; Metazoa; Chordata; Mammalia; Chiroptera; Phyllostomidae.
CAGAAUCACCUGGAGGAUUUUUAAAACUCAGAAGGAUGGGCCCUACCGGCAGAGUUUCUGAAUCUGAAGAUCUAGGGUGGAGCAAGGUAUUGCAAUGAAUAAAUACAUGAUUAAAAACUUAUCAAAAACCUAAGAGAAAAUUGCUGGAGCUACCGACAAAGCAAUAAAACCAGGAAGAACCUUCAAAUUCCCUUGUGUAAGUUAUAUUAGACAAUAAGAUUGCUCUUGACCACAUCCUAGCUAAACAAGGUGGAACAGAUGUACCAGGAAUGAGCCUUCCGGUUGACGAGGGAUUAGCAAUGGCUUGACAUACCAAAAGUGAGCCUUCCUGAGAAUGGAGAACUAGUGAUGCUUUUAGUAAAUGACUGGUGUUACUUUCCAGUGAUUGAUCAAUGAUGCAUUCAAGGAAAGAUAUCGAAAGAGGGAAAUAGAAAACAUAAUAUAAAGGAAGCCACUUUAAAAUGGAGCCAGAGUUGCCAUCCAGAGGAACAGCAUGUCUUACUCCUCAAACCUUUGGAAUGUAAAACUGGGCAAAAUAACCUUUGGACUGAGCCGAAAGCAGCAUUCUAUCCCCAAACACAGUUUGUAAAGAUAAGAAAGCAGAUACUACGACUACUGGACUGAAAUUCAAAACAUUCUUUGGAAUGACAAUACGUUGUUAGCUUAUCUUCAGCUAUAAAAAUUCUUUCCUUCUAUUGACUUAAUGGUUCCUCUUUCUUUUCUCAUAAAUAAUCCUUGCCUUCACCUCCUAACUGGGACACUGUUUGGGGCUCUGCCUGAAUCAGUGCUUCCAAAAUAGUUAUUCUUUUGAAUCUCAAAUAAAUGCUUGUUGCCUUUCACUUUGGUCUUUUUAUUUCUAGGUUAAUACAUUAUAU